UGGGGAAUAUUGGACAAUGGGCGGAAGCCUGAUCCAGCAACGCCGCGUGAGGGAUGACGGCCUUCGGGUUGUAAACCUCUUUCAGUACCGACGAAGCGGAAGUGACGGUAGGUACAGAAGAAGCACCGGCCAACUACGUGCCAGCAGCCGCGGUAAUACGUAGGGUGCGAGCGUUGUCCGGAAUUAUUGGGCGUAAAGGGCUCGUAGGCGGUUUGUCGCGUCGGGAGUGAAAACACUGGGCUUAACUCAGUGCUUGCUUCCGAUACGGGCAGACUAGAGGCAUGCAGGGGAGAACGGAAUUCCUGGUGUAGCGGUGAAAUGCGCAGAUAUCAGGAGGAACACCGGUGGCGAAGGCGGUUCUCUGGGCAUGUCCUGACGCUGAGGAGCGAAAGUGUGGGGAGCGAACAGGAUUAGAUACCCUGGUAGUCCACACCGUAAACGUUGGGCGCUAGGUGUGGGGCCUAUUCCAUGGGUUCCGUGCCGCAGCUAACGCAUUAAGCGCCCCGCCUGGGGAGUACGGCCGCAAGGCUAAAACUCAAAGGAAUUGACGGGGUCAUAGCUGUUUCCU
RNAcentral lists this ribosomal RNA (568 nucleotides) under uncultured bacterium. RNAcentral describes it as "partial 16S ribosomal RNA". It matches the Rfam family "Bacterial small subunit ribosomal RNA", at positions 355 to 1375 of the family's 1533-position model. The record is from RNAcentral.